RNAcentral lists this ribosomal RNA (169 nucleotides) under uncultured bacterium. RNAcentral describes it as "partial 16S ribosomal RNA". It matches the Rfam family "Bacterial small subunit ribosomal RNA", at positions 340 to 524 of the family's 1533-position model. The record is from RNAcentral.
UACGGGAGGCAGCGGUGGGGAAUAUUGGUCAAUGGGCGCAAGCCUGAACCAGCCAUGCCGCGUGAGUGAUGACGGCCUUCGGGUUGUAAAGCUCUUUCGCUAGGGAAGAAUUAAUGACGGUACCUAGAUAAGAAGUCCCGGCUAACUCCGUGCCAGCAGCCGCGGUAAU